Molecule: non-coding RNA, 29 nt
Filed under: Rattus norvegicus (Norway rat)
Lineage: Eukaryota; Metazoa; Chordata; Mammalia; Rodentia; Muridae
Source: RNAcentral
UCCAGUUUGCUUUGCUGUUCCUGGGCCUC